Molecule: long non-coding RNA, 4914 nt
Filed under: Sus scrofa (pig)
Lineage: Eukaryota; Metazoa; Chordata; Mammalia; Artiodactyla; Suidae
Description: lncRNA (ENSSSCG00060026157.1)
Source: RNAcentral
AACCAGCACUGCCACGCAAAGAAAAGGCUGAGCUGAGUGGCUGGAGAAGGGAAUGACUCUACAGGAUUCCCCAUUUUCCAAGCAGCUCACACAGUCGUGAGAAAGAACGGUGACUGCAAGAAAAAGGGAACUUCCCAGGGCCUGGAACAUCGGAGACGGACUGACAUAGCAAUUAUCCUACAAGAGUCAAACGGGGUUAGGCCCUCGGGGAGCAGCCACUGCUGCUUCAGAAAUAAACACAAAUUAACUCACCCUGGGUAACAAUUUAUGCUGUGUGGGGCAAAUCCCUCUACCUCCUCAUGCUUCUAGGAGAAAGAGCGCAAGCAGAAAUUAAAUAUCUGACUAAUUAUAUAUGCGGUAUUCAUAUUCUUGUCCUUAAGGCAGAAAAUAUAUUUUAAGAGUUCCCAUCAUGGCUCAGCAGAAAUGAACUCAACUAGUAUCCACGAGGACACGGGUUCGAUCCCUGGCCUUGUUCAAUGGGUUAAGGCUCUGGUGUUGCCGUGAGCUGUGGUAUAGGUCACAGACGUGGCUCAGAUCCUGAGUUGCUGUGGCUGUGGUGUUGGCCGGCAGUUGUAUCUCCGGCUGGAUCCCUAGCCUGGGAACCUCCAUGGGCCUCACAUGUGGCAAGAAAGAAAGAAAGGAAGAAUGAAAAUGUAUGCAUAUAUUUUUAAACUAUGAAUUUACAAAUUUUCAUUCCAUGUCUACAGUUUUUUUAACAGGCUAGAAUGCCUAAGACAGUGGAGUCGAACAGAUCUGGUUUGAGGCUUCGCUCUGCGAUAAACCAGUUGUGCAAAUGGAGCAUUUAUUGAUCUUCCCUUAACAUUUACCUCCUACCAAGGACAGAAACUCCUGCAAAGCUGUUUUAAGGAUUAGAAAUCUGUGACCUCAGCACAGUACCAGGCUCCAAAGAAAAGCUUAAUAAAUUGUGGCUACUAUAUUAUUAUAAUGAUUCCUGAAAGCUCCUUCAGGCUGUCAAGCAUGGCAAUGGAUGUGAAAACAUUUCCAGAAGGCUUCAUAGUAAAAGCCUAGGGGUUUGGUUUUGUUUUUUCCAGAGAGGGCUGUAAUGGAGUGGGGUUUCUGUUUUGCUUUGACUGAUAUUCAGUGUGACUUAGUAAGGCUACAUGGUUUUAGGGGUGUUAGUAGAUCAAACUAAAUCAUUAAGACAAGUGACUUGAUACAUUGUGGCAGGAAGUGAAUUUGUCACUAAACCCCUGACAGCUCCAGGUAGAGCACACCCAGCCCCAGUGUGCCCGGGCAGGCACAGGGCAGGAGGCAGGGCACCCUGCUCACCCACAUGGGUGUAUGAUUCUGUGUCACAGCAUCAGGCACCUGUCCAUUUCUCGUGCCUAGAAGAGAAAGCUUGAGGAAGAGCAUAGGGUCCCGCACCAGCAGACGUGACCAGCAGCAGGUGUGGGAUCCAGGGUCAGAACUGCAACGCCCAGUGGGAGAGAGGGGAGACCUGGAGACGACACAGAUUUCAGUCAGAAGCUCAGCUCUUUCCCUUCAGCAGUAUAACCUGAGCCAGGAAGAUGCCCACCGCCAAGCCUCAGGCUCCUCAUCCCAAAACUCAAGUAUCACUCAUAUAUCGACGUAGGGUGAGGACCGAAUGAUAUGCGUCAAUGGCCUGGCACCUCUCUGAGUCUCUGUUUCCACAAUCUGUGGCACAGGGACCUGAGAACUCACGUCGUGAGGUUGAUGUGAAGACCGAAUUCCGCCAUGUGUUACUGCAACGGGCGUAAUUAGCCCAAGGCCGUCCAUCUACCAGAUAACUAGUGUUCCGGCACCAAGGGUUCACUAGCAGACUUUAGGAAAUUCUUGGAAACAAAAAGGCAAACAGGAAAAGCAUGUAUUUAUGUAAUAAUUUACUAACCAAUAAGAGGAAAAGGGGCAGCAAGACACCGGGGAUUCAAACUGAGACUCAGGGAAUGUGGCAUUUUUUUCUAAGGGGUCACUGGACCGAUACAUGGGGGAGACAGCCAGCUGUUCUGUAAGGUGUGAGGGGAUCCCCAUGCUCACCACCUAGAACUAUCUGGAACCGCCCCACCUCCUCGUGCGGCCUGAGCGCCCGAUCCUGCUGGGUGGGCAGCACCCCGUGGAAGCACACACAGCUCUGGGACCAGUGAGCCUUCUGCGGGGACGCCUUUCAGGCUUGAGCAGCUGAAAGGCUCCUCGGGGAGCUUCUCUCCCGGGACACAGGUGAAAUCAGACUUUGGAAGGAAGACGUGUGUCCUGGGACCCUCGGAGACAGCAAGGAGGAUGAAAAAGGGCACCAGGUGGGCGAGGGUGACACCCAGUCAUGAAAAGACCAUGGGCCUUAGAGACACAAACUCCAGCUUCCCGCACUGAGUGCACGCCCUGCUCAAGCCCGGCUACUUCCCGAGGCGCAGUCUCCUCAUCUGCAACAUGCAGUGCGUGCAGCUGACCUUCCAGAGCCUCCGAGGACUCUGAGACAGCACAGGCCUGGGAGUACUCGGCACGGAGGCCAGGACCCUGUACCGAGAGUCAGCCCUGAUGUGCAGAGGUCUACUCUGAGCUAAAAUCCCCCUGGAGAAAUGCUCCAGAAAGCCGCUGGUUUGAUCCCCUGGGGAAGCAGAGGCCCAGCACCUUCAAGGCGAUCUCAGAGGGAAGGUCCGGCCGCUCUGAAACCUUCAGAGCUGAGAACACACCAGCCCAACAAACCACCCAUAGUUGGGUUUCCAGGUGAGCCCAGGAAAACCUUAAGAACCCAGCAGGGAACAAUUCACAUGACAAAAUGAUGCCGCCCCCUAGCCCAGGGCCAACAUCUGAAAUACAACUUGGCUUCUUAAAAAAAAAAAAAAAAUGGGACCAGGACAAGUUAAGCUGCUUCUAAGGGCACCUUCCUGUCCUCAGGCUACCGCCUAGGCCCUCGCCCCCCCACCCACGUCAAGCCCACCUGACUUCUGAAGGAGCCCCUCUUUCCCAAACACCUGCCACUGGCCGCCUACUUCGCAGCCGGUGGGGAGAAGCAACCCCCCAACCCGCUCAUUCACAACCGUAGGUGGAGGACGAGGCAGGACCUGGGUCUGAGAUCCAAAGGAGCUGGAGAGGUGGCCCAGGGGGCUACGAGGGAAGAGAGGGCGAAAGAAGAGGAGCUGGCGGAGGCUGGGGGACACCCAUCGAGGAGCCCGAGGGCCUCCAGGUCCGCUCCCUGCACAUCCCCCUUCUGCGGGGAAGGCUUUUUCUUUAUUCCUAAACCCACAAGGCACAGGCCUUCACAGACCUGGUUCCACGGCAAGUGGGGAUUUGGGCAGAGAGGCUACAUGAGCAAAGAAGUCACCGCGAGGCCCAGAUGUCGCCGGUUCCCAGCUUUUCACGCCCACGGCUGCACAACCAGACAGCAAACACCCGCAUCCCUCUCUUCACACCCGCAGCAACAGCCGGCGGCCGCCGCCUCUGGGAGGGCAACGCACAGCCCAGGCCAGCCUUUUCCUCUGGAGAAACUCUUUAAGUCAAGGCUUCGCUCAAGGCUGUCCCUACCUGGGAAAAAGCUCAUUCGCAGGCUGGGAAAAAGCUCAUUCGCAGGCUGCCCGGGACUGGGGUGUAACACGACCAGAUCACCUCUGGGGGGAGUCCGGCUAUAUGACAACCGGAUCAGAAAUUCAUGAAUCCACCUGAUGCCUCACCCACGAAUUCUCCUUCUAGGAAUCUAUCGCCCCCAGGGCAGCCACACUCACUGCUGGGGCAACUGCGGAGCCAGCUACUUAAAACCCAAGCUCCUGAGUUGGGGGUCACUUAGGGGAAGGAGGGAGACGCCGUUAACAUCACGAUGUGCCUGAGGACUUUUUAAUGACAUGGGGAGAUGCUCGCCAUGGGUUAAAGGAAGAGAGGCAGGAGGAAUGCCUGAAGUGACAGACAGGCGAGGCCAGCCCCAGCUGGUGGGAUUAUGGGUGACUUUUAAAUUCCCCUUUUUUUUUAUGCUCGUCCAUGUUUUCUACAAAGGGAAUACCUUCCUUUUAUUCUCAAUAUGAAAAAAUUACCGGGGAUGAGAGUAUGCUAAGAAGAGACUGCAGCACACGUUACACGACACCAGAGAGCUGCAAGCGCAACCCGACGAUAGGAGAUGCUUCAGCACAAACACCUCCCAUCCGCCACAAAUAAAUUACAAAGCAAAGAGGGGGUUGCCCACGGAUUCAAGAAACUUUAAAUCUAUGUCGGUCAAAUUGACCACAUGGAUCGCAUUUGGAUCCUGAUUUGAACAAAUUACUUUAAAGAAAACAGGAAAUCUGAACACUGACUGAAUACUUAAUGCUCUAUUGAGAAAACAUUCAUUGUUUGAUGUGAUUAUUAUACUUAUUGUGGUUCCGUGCUGCUGUUGUUUUCAACUCCUUAUGUUUUAAGGAAGGCUAUAUACUAGAUUAUUUAUGCAUGAAAUGAAACAGUGUCUACGACUGCUUCCAAAAAUCAAGGUGGGAGGAGGCAGAAAUGAAAAGAGGACAGGCCAAAGUGGACCACCGCUGAAGCUGGGUGACAGGUGACAGGUACGGAGAGGUUCAGGCUGGUCUCUCUACUUCUGUGUACGUGUGAAAGUCACAAACCAACAAGCUAAAACAGAAACACGCCCAAAGGAAAAACCAUUUGAACAACUGAGCUACUACGGAAAAGGAAAAACGAGGCUACACAAGCCAUUUGAGUGGAUAGAGGGGAAUCUAAAAAUGCAAAGUACUACAAAGGUGCCCAAUAAUAAAAUCCAUUUUUUUUUUUAAGUCAAAAGGUAUUCUUUUAAGUUAAAAAUCACUUGGCGAAACAUCUCAUAGGUGUGUCUCUUUCAGACACUGAACCACUUGGGGGCGGGGGGCAUAACAUAGGAGACUGGAAGGCAGAAGUGACCUCAAGCUUCGGCUACUUAUUCAACGUUGUGACAAGUCAUUUUAACUUUCUGAGCCUCUGUUUCCU